RNAcentral lists this ribosomal RNA (171 nucleotides) under uncultured bacterium. RNAcentral's name for it is "partial 16S ribosomal RNA". The record is from RNAcentral.
CAAGCCGUAAACACUGAAUGCUAGUUGUCUCUCGCUUCGCGAGGGGUGACGUAAGUUAACACGUUAAGCAUUCCGCCUGGGGAGUNACGAAGCGAAAGACCUUACCCAGGUUUGAAAUGUAUCUGCACAGUUAUGGAAACAUAGCUUUCUUCGAGAGUGAUACACAGGUGA